AUUGAACGCUGGCGGCAUGCCUUACACAUGCAAGUCGAACGGUAACAGGUCUUCGGAUGCUGACGAGUGGCGACCGGGUGAGUAAUACAUCGGAACGUGCCUAGUAGUGGGGGAUAACUACUCGAAGGAGUGGCUAAUACCGCAUGAGAUCUACGGAUGAAAGCAGGGGAUCGCAAGACCUUGUGCUACUAGAGCGGCCGAUGGCAGAUUAGGUAGUUGGUGGGAUAAAAGCUUACCAAGCCGACGAUCUGUAGCUGGUCUGAGAGGACGAUCAGCCACACUGGGACUGAGACACGGCCCAGACUCCUACGGGAGGCAGCAGUGGGGAAUUUUGGACAAUGGGCGAAAGCCUGAUCCAGCAAUGCCGCGUGCAGGAUGAAGGCCUUCGGGUUGUAAACUGCUUUUGUACGGAACGAAAAGCCCCGGGUUAAUACCCUGGGGUCAUGACGGUACCGUAAGAAUAAGCACCGGCUAACUACGUGCCAGCCGCCGCUGUAA
This 498-nucleotide ribosomal RNA is filed under the name uncultured bacterium. RNAcentral's name for it is "partial 16S ribosomal RNA". It matches the Rfam family "Bacterial small subunit ribosomal RNA", at positions 30 to 523 of the family's 1533-position model. The record is from RNAcentral.